Paramuricea clavata is the source of this 137-nucleotide non-coding RNA. Lineage: Eukaryota; Metazoa; Cnidaria; Anthozoa; Malacalcyonacea; Plexauridae. The record is from the annotation of a GenBank genome assembly.
AUAUUUCGGAACUGAGUCUAGUUCCUUCGAUAUCAGUAUAAUCUAAUAAUCAUAAAUAAUAGCCACUACUAUGUGAAUCAUUUCAUGAUUAUUAGAUUAUACUGAUAUCGAAGGAACUAGACUCAGUUCCGAAAUAU